GUCGAACGAACUCUGGUAUUGAUUGGUGCUUGCAUCAUGAUUUACAUUUGAGUGAGUGGCGAACUGGUGAGUAACACGUGGGAAACCUGCCCAGAAGCGGGGGAUAACACCUGGAAACAGAUGCUAAUACCGCAUAACAACUUGGACCGCAUGGUCCGAGUUUGAAAGAUGGCUUCGGCUAUCACUUUUGGAUGGUCCCGCGGCGUAUUAGCUAGAUGGUGGGGUAACGGCUCACCAUGGCAAUGAUACGUAGCCGACCUGAGAGGGUAAUCGGCCACAUUGGGACUGAGACACGGCCCAAACUCCUACGGGAGGCAGCAGUAGGGAAUCUUCCACAAUGGACGAAAGUCUGAUGGAGCAACGCCGCGUGAGUGAAGAAGGGUUUCGGCUCGUAAAACUCUGUUGUUAAAGAAGAACAUAUCUGAGAGUAACUGUUCAGGUAUUGACGGUAUUUAACCAGAAAGCCACGGCUAACUACGUGCCAGCAGCCGCGGUAAUACGUAGGUGGCAAGCGUUGUCCGGAUUUAUUGGGCGUAAAGCGAGCGCAGGCGGUUUUUUAAGUCUGAUGUGAAAGCCUUCGGCUCAACCGAAGAAGUGCAUCGGAAACUGGGAAACUUGAGUGCAGAAGAGGACAGUGGAACUCCAUGUGUAGCGGUGAAAUGCGUAGAUAUAUGGAAGAACACCAGUGGCGAAGGCGGCUGUCUGGUCUGUAACUGACGCUGAGGCUCGAAAGUAUGGGUAGCAAACAGGAUUAGAUACCCUGGUAGUCCAUACCGUAAACGAUGAAUGCUAAGUGUUGGAGGGUUUCCGCCCUUCAGUGCUGCAGCUAACGCAUUAAGCAUUCCGCCUG
This 850-nucleotide ribosomal RNA is filed under the name Lactobacillus sp. 14.2.33. RNAcentral describes it as "bacterial SSU rRNA". It matches the Rfam family "Bacterial small subunit ribosomal RNA", at positions 61 to 875 of the family's 1533-position model. The record is from RNAcentral. Lineage: Bacteria; Bacillati; Bacillota; Bacilli; Lactobacillales; Lactobacillaceae.